UACAGAGGGUGCGAGCGUUAAUCGGAAUUACUGGGCGUAAAGCGUGCGCAGGCGGUUUUGUAAGCCAGAUGUGAAAUCCCCGGGCUUAACCUGGGAAUGGCAUUUGGGACUGCAAGGCUUGAGUUUGGCAGAGGAGACUGGAAUUCCUGGUGUAGCAGUGAAAUGCGUAGAUAUCAGGAGGAAUACCGAUGGCGAAGGCAGGUCUCUGGGCUAGAACUGACGCUCAUGCACGAAAGCGUGGGGAGCAAACAGG
This 253-nucleotide ribosomal RNA is filed under the name uncultured bacterium. RNAcentral's name for it is "partial 16S ribosomal RNA". It matches the Rfam family "Bacterial small subunit ribosomal RNA", at positions 524 to 776 of the family's 1533-position model. The record is from RNAcentral.